RNAcentral lists this ribosomal RNA (380 nucleotides) under uncultured Hylodesmus. Its description in RNAcentral is "SSU rRNA". It matches the Rfam family "Eukaryotic small subunit ribosomal RNA", at positions 585 to 972 of the family's 1831-position model. Lineage: Eukaryota; Viridiplantae; Chlorophyta; Chlorophyceae; Sphaeropleales; Scenedesmaceae. The record is from RNAcentral.
CCAGCUCCAAUAGCGUAUAUUUAAGUUGUUGCAGUUAAAAAGCUCGUAGUUGGAUUUCGGGUGGGUUCUAGCGGUCCGCCUAUGGUGAGUACUGCUAUGGCCUAUCUUACUGCUGGGGACCUGCUCCUGGGCUUCAUUGUCCGGGACAGGGAGUCAGCAUGGUUACCUUGAGUAAAUUAGAGUGUUCAAAGCAGGCUUACGCCCUGAAUACUUUAGCAUGGAAUAACACGAUAGGACUCUGCUCUAUUGUGUUGGCCUGUAGAUGUGGAGUAAUGAUUAAGAGGGACAGUCGGGGGCAUUCGUAUUUCAUUGUCAGAGGUGAAAUUCUUGGAUUUAUGAAAGACGAACUACUGCGAAAGCAUUUGCCAAGGAUGUUUUCA